CCCUGGUUAGCUCAGUUGGUAGAGCGCUCCACCUGUAAUGAGAGGUCCCGGGUUCGAUACCCGGACAAGGCG
Non-coding RNA from Ixodes scapularis (black-legged tick), 72 nucleotides. The record is from Rfam. Lineage: Eukaryota; Metazoa; Arthropoda; Arachnida; Ixodida; Ixodidae.